RNAcentral lists this ribosomal RNA (2237 nucleotides) under Escherichia coli. RNAcentral's name for it is "partial 23S ribosomal RNA". It matches the Rfam family "Bacterial large subunit ribosomal RNA", at positions 418 to 2640 of the family's 2925-position model. Lineage: Bacteria; Pseudomonadati; Pseudomonadota; Gammaproteobacteria; Enterobacterales; Enterobacteriaceae. The record is from RNAcentral.
CGGGACACGUGGUAUCCUGUCUGAAUAUGGGGGGACCAUCCUCCAAGGCUAAAUACUCCUGACUGACCGAUAGUGAACCAGUACCGUGAGGGAAAGGCGAAAAGAACCCCGGCGAGGGGAGUGAAAAAGAACCUGAAACCGUGUACGUACAAGCAGUGGGAGCACGCUUAGGCGUGUGACUGCGUACCUUUUGUAUAAUGGGUCAGCGACUUAUAUUCUGUAGCAAGGUUAACCGAAUAGGGGAGCCGAAGGGAAACCGAGUCUUAACUGGGCGUUAAGUUGCAGGGUAUAGACCCGAAACCCGGUGAUCUAGCCAUGGGCAGGUUGAAGGUUGGGUAACACUAACUGGAGGACCGAACCGACUAAUGUUGAAAAAUUAGCGGAUGACUUGUGGCUGGGGGUGAAAGGCCAAUCAAACCGGGAGAUAGCUGGUUCUCCCCGAAAGCUAUUUAGGUAGCGCCUCGUGAAUUCAUCUCCGGGGGUAGAGCACUGUUUCGGCAAGGGGGUCAUCCCGACUUACCAACCCGAUGCAAACUGCGAAUACCGGAGAAUGUUAUCACGGGAGACACACGGCGGGUGCUAACGUCCGUCGUGAAGAGGGAAACAACCCAGACCGCCAGCUAAGGUCCCAAAGUCAUGGUUAAGUGGGAAACGAUGUGGGAAGGCCCAGACAGCCAGGAUGUUGGCUUAGAAGCAGCCAUCAUUUAAAGAAAGCGUAAUAGCUCACUGGUCGAGUCGGCCUGCGCGGAAGAUGUAACGGGGCUAAACCAUGCACCGAAGCUGCGGCAGCGACGCUGAUGCGUUGUUGGGUAGGGGAGCGUUCUGUAAGCCUGCGAAGGUGUGCUGUGAGGCAUGCUGGAGGUAUCAGAAGUGCGAAUGCUGACAUAAGUAACGAUAAAGCGGGUGAAAAGCCCGCUCGCCGGAAGACCAAGGGUUCCUGUCCAACGUUAAUCGGGGCAGGGUGAGUCGACCCCUAAGGCGAGGCCGAAAGGCGUAGUCGAUGGGAAACAGGUUAAUAUUCCUGUACUUGGUGUUACUGCGAAGGGGGGACGGAGAAGGCUAUGUUGGCCGGGCGACGGUUGUCCCGGUUUAAGCGUGUAGGCUGGUUUUCCAGGCAAAUCCGGAAAAUCAAGGCUGAGGCGUGAUGACGAGGCACUACGGUGCUGAAGCAACAAAUGCCCUGCUUCCAGGAAAAGCCUCUAAGCAUCAGGUAACAUCAAAUCGUACCCCAAACCGACACAGGUGGUCAGGUAGAGAAUACCAAGGCGCUUGAGAGAACUCGGGUGAAGGAACUAGGCAAAAUGGUGCCGUAACUUCGGGAGAAGGCACGCUGAUAUGUAGGUGAAGUCCCUCGCGGAUGGAGCUGAAAUCAGUCGAAGAUACCAGCUGGCUGCAACUGUUUAUUAAAAACACAGCACUGUGCAAACACGAAAGUGGACGUAUACGGUGUGACGCCUGCCCGGUGCCGGAAGGUUAAUUGAUGGGGUCAGCGCAAGCGAAGCUCUUGAUCGAAGCCCCGGUAAACGGCGGCCGUAACUAUAACGGUCCUAAGGUAGCGAAAUUCCUUGUCGGGUAAGUUCCGACCUGCACGAAUGGCGUAAUGAUGGCCAGGCUGUCUCCACCCGAGACUCAGUGAAAUUGAACUCGCUGUGAAGAUGCAGUGUACCCGCGGCAAGACGGAAAGACCCCGUGAACCUUUACUAUAGCUUGACACUGAACAUUGAGCCUUGAUGUGUAGGAUAGGUGGGAGGCUUUGAAGUGUGGACGCCAGUCUGCAUGGAGCCGACCUUGAAAUACCACCCUUUAAUGUUUGAUGUUCUAACGUUGACCCGUGAUCCGGGUUGCGGACAGUGUCUGGUGGGUAGUUUGACUGGGGCGGUCUCCUCCUAAAGAGUAACGGAGGAGCACGAAGGUUGGCUAAUCCUGGUCGGACAUCAGGAGGUUAGUGCAAUGGCAUAAGCCAGCUUGACUGCGAGCGUGACGGCGCGAGCAGGUGCGAAAGCAGGUCAUAGUGAUCCGGUGGUUCUGAAUGGAAGGGCCAUCGCUCAACGGAUAAAAGGUACUCCGGGGAUAACAGGCUGAUACCGCCCAAGAGUUCAUAUCGACGGCGGUGUUUGGCACCUCGAUGUCGGCUCAUCACAUCCUGGGGCUGAAGUAGGUCCCAAGGGUAUGGCUGUUCGCCAUUUAAAGUGGUACGCGAGCUGGGUUUAGAACGUCGUGAGACAGUUCGGUCCCUA